Raphanus sativus (radish) is the source of this 1556-nucleotide RNA transcript. RefSeq lists it as uncharacterized. The transcript is spliced from 7 exons. Lineage: Eukaryota; Viridiplantae; Streptophyta; Magnoliopsida; Brassicales; Brassicaceae. The record is from RefSeq and is a predicted model, not a curated record.
CUUUUGGGCUUGACGGCUUGAAACCAUUUAGGGCUGUAGACGUCGACGACAUUCACCUUCCUCUUACGUUCGUCUUCUCCGAUCGAAAGACAAAGAAACUGAGCCACUCUCAUCAAUCAAUACGGUUCUUUACUACCAUGAAUUCAUUCAUAAUGACUUCGUUUCGCCUCCCUCUUCUCCUCCUUCUUUAUAUACAGAUCCUCUUUCGUUUUAACAAACCAAAACCCUAGAUCUCCUCCAACCUCAAUCGAUGGCGAUGAAACCAAAUGAGAAGUCCCCUGUCUCCUCCGCUUCUGAUGAAAAGGUCAUAUUCUUCAGAGAUGUCUCACUAAAUCCCCCACGAAACCCAGUUGCGCUUCCGUCAGAGUAUCAAAGAAGAAGCGACAAGAACGACAAGAACGAGAAGCUCAAAGACAGAGGGAAAAAAUGAACAGUGUUUUGGCAAGAAACUUAGAGUUCUCGCAGCUGAUCAUGCAGCAGAAGGGAUUUCUAGAAAAUUAUCUAUGGAGUCAUCUGUGUUAUAGGUAUCGGUGCUAAAACAAGAAAAAGAGGUGUUAUCAAAUGCUGAGAAAAGAGCCUCUGACGAAGUUUUUGUUUUAUCUCAGAGAGUUUAUCGUCUUCAGGCUAUCUUGGAUACUCUCCAGAGUACAGAGGAAGCUCGUGAGGAAGCAAGAGCUGCCGAGAGAAGGAAACAAGAGGAGCAUAUCAAGCAACUUGAGAGAAUGGGCUGAAGCUAAAGAAAUUGGAAGAAGAAGCAUCAUUUUGGAAGUGAAGAGUGCGACCAAUGCUUCUGAACAGACCUUUAUUAAAGCCCAAAAGGUCAACGGAAGCCAAAGCAUGAGAAAAUCUCAGGUGGUAAGAAUGUUCCAUUGGUUCAUAUCAAAUAGAACACAGGUGCAGAUGCUAAAUUGUCACCUUCAAAUGGUGAUACCAUAGCAGCCCAGGUCAUGGAGAAUAUUAAACAAGACCCUGCACGAGCUGAUAGUGCCGCCGGCUACUCAGUCCUUUCCUUUUGAAAUCUGAGGUUCUUUUUGUAUUAUCUUGAAGACUUAAGUUUAUCCAUCUAGAGAUAAUGGUGCUAAGUGUUACUAUUAAUCUUUUAUUCACUGAUAAAUUGUUGAAACUAGAGAUUUUUCUUUCUUAAAUACAUGGAAAAGGUGAAACCAAAUCCUCAAAAGAAACAAGUCCGUCCGCCAUCUGAAGAUGAUACUUAAUCUUCUAAGUAUUUGUCCGUGAAAUCUUUGACGAGGCUCGACAGUCUGCUCCAUGCGUUCUCUUCUUUGAUGAGCUCGACUCCAUUGCGACUCAGAGAGGAGGUGGAGGCGGAGGUGAUGCUGGCGUGGCAGCGGAUAGAGUCCUGAACCAGCUUUUGACGGAGAUGGACGGAAUGAACGCCAAGAAGACUGUCUUCAUCAUUGGAGCAACCAACAGACCUGACAUUGUAAGAGUAUAGUUUAGGCAACUGCGAUUGUGUCGUAGAGUUAAAAAGGAAAAUCAUGUACCACUUUGUAACUUCGACCCUCCCUUACUUGCUCAGAUGCAGAGUUCGGUCUCAC